This 497-nucleotide ribosomal RNA is filed under the name uncultured bacterium. Its description in RNAcentral is "partial 16S ribosomal RNA". It matches the Rfam family "Bacterial small subunit ribosomal RNA", at positions 28 to 508 of the family's 1533-position model. The record is from RNAcentral.
GAUGAACGCUGGCGGCGUGCCUAAUACAUGCAAGUCGAGCGAACAGACGAGGAGCUUGCUCCUCUGAUGUUAGCGGCGGACGGGUGAGUAACACGUGGAUAACCUACCUAUAAGACUGGGAUAACUUCGGGAAACCGGAGCUAAUACCGGAUAACAUGUUGAACCGCAUGGUUCAACAGUGAAAGACGGUCUUGCUGUCACUUAUAGAUGGAUCCGCGCCGCAUUAGCUAGUUGGUAAGGUAACGGCUUACCAAGGCAACGAUGCGUAGCCGACCUGAGAGGGGGGGCGGCCACAUGAGAAGGGAAACGCGGCCACGCCACCUACGGGGGGGGAAAGGGGGAAUUGCUGCGCAGAGGGGGAAGACAGGAGGGAGCAGCGCGGGGGGAGGAAAAAGGUUGUUGGAAUAAAAAAACUUUUUUAUGGGGAAAAAAAAAAUGUGAAAGAAAAUAGGCGCGUUUGGAGGUUACCUAAUAAAAAGACCCGGACAAACAAGGGC